RNAcentral lists this ribosomal RNA (891 nucleotides) under Phaeoacremonium angustius. RNAcentral describes it as "LSU rRNA". It matches the Rfam family "Eukaryotic large subunit ribosomal RNA", at positions 38 to 964 of the family's 3401-position model. Lineage: Eukaryota; Fungi; Ascomycota; Sordariomycetes; Togniniales; Togniniaceae. The record is from RNAcentral.
GCAUAUCAAUAAGCGGAGGAAAAGAACCAACAGGGAUUGCCCUAGUAACGGCGAGUGAAGCGGCAACAGCUCAAAUUUGAAAUCUGGCCUCGGCCCGAGUUGUAAUUUGCAGAGGAUGUUUCUGGCGCGGCGCCUUCUGAGUUCCCUGGAACGGGACGCCAUAGAGGGUGAGAGCCCCGUACGGUUGGACGCCUAGCCUGUGUGAAACUCCUUCGACGAGUCGAGUAGUUUGGGAAUGCUGCUCAAAAUGGGAGGUAUAUCUCUUCUAAAGCUAAAUAUUGGCCAGAGACCGAUAGCGCACAAGUAGAGUGAUCGAAAGAUGAAAAGCACCUUGAAAAGGGGGUUAAACAGCACGUGAAAUUGUUGAAAGGGAAGCGCCCAUGACCAGACUUGUGCCCGGCGGAUCACCCAGCGUUCUCGCUGGGGCACUCCGCCGGGUCCAGGCCAGCAUCGGUUUUCGCCGGGGGAUAAAGGCUCUGGGAACGUAGCUCCUCCGGGAGUGUUAUAGCCCUCUGCGUAAUACCCUGGCGGGGACCGAGGUACGCGCUCCGCAAGGAUGCUGGCGUAAUGGUCAUCAGCGACCCGUCUUGAAACACGGAUCAAGGAGUCGUCCAUUAGAGCGAGCGUUUGGGUGUCAAACCCGCACGCGUAAUGAAAGUGAACGUAGGUGAGAGCUUCGGCGCAUCAUCGACCGAUCCUGAUGUCCUCGGAUGGAUUUGAGUAUGAGUUUUACUGGACGGACCCGAAAGAUGGUGAACUAUGCCUGAAUAGGGUGAAGCCAGAGGAAACUCUGGUGGAGGCUCGCAGCGGUUCUGACGUGCAAAUCGAUCGUCAAAUUUGGGCAUGGGGGCGAAAGACUAAUCGAACCAUCUAGUAGCUGGUUACCGCCGA